Molecule: non-coding RNA, 45 nt
Filed under: Schistosoma margrebowiei
Lineage: Eukaryota; Metazoa; Platyhelminthes; Trematoda; Strigeidida; Schistosomatidae
Source: RNAcentral
AUCCAGCUGAUGAGUCCCAAAUAGGGCGAAACGCGCGUCUUGGAU